AUCGAAGCAACAACGCCACACAAGCAGGAGGCAGAUCAUGUUCGUCGAUACAGUGGUUCUCGCCGGUAUAGGCACCGUCGGUCUCAUGGUCGCCUUCUUCGUAGGCGUCGGUUACUUCAUCUGGAAAGACUCGCACAAACGCGCUCCGCGUUGAGUCACUCCGGGUUUACAGGCACGCAAGGCACCUCGGGCGACUUCGGUCGCCCAUUUUUUUG
Molecule: small RNA, 215 nt
Filed under: Metapseudomonas resinovorans NBRC 106553
Lineage: Bacteria; Pseudomonadati; Pseudomonadota; Gammaproteobacteria; Pseudomonadales; Pseudomonadaceae
Description: Pseudomonas resinovorans NBRC 106553 PhrS
Rfam family: PhrS
Source: Rfam by way of RNAcentral